Lupinus angustifolius (narrow-leaved blue lupine) is the source of this 62-nucleotide non-coding RNA. The record is from Rfam. NCBI's taxonomy places the organism in Eukaryota, Viridiplantae, Streptophyta, Magnoliopsida, Fabales, Fabaceae.
GCGAGCCACAUGUAGAGAAAUUUGCACGUGUGGUUCUGGCUGGGGACCCCGGUAUACCGCAC